UACGUAGGGGGCGAGCGUUGUCCGGAUUUAUUGGGCGUAAAAGGCUUGUAGGUGGCCACGUCAAGUCGGAUGUGAAAUCUCCCGGCUCAACUGGGCGGGGUCGGCGGAUACGGCGUGGCUGGAGCAAGCUAGGGGGCAAUGGAAUUCCCGGUGUAGUGGUGGAAUGCGUAGAUAUCGGGAGGAACACCAGUGGCGAAGGCGGUUGCCUGGAGCUUUGCUGACGCUGAGGCGCGAAAGCGUGGGGAGCGAUCCGG
Molecule: ribosomal RNA, 254 nt
Filed under: uncultured bacterium
Lineage: Bacteria
Description: partial 16S ribosomal RNA
Rfam family: Bacterial small subunit ribosomal RNA
Source: RNAcentral